Molecule: long non-coding RNA, 850 nt
Organism: Gambusia affinis (western mosquitofish)
Lineage: Eukaryota; Metazoa; Chordata; Actinopteri; Cyprinodontiformes; Poeciliidae
Exons: 4
Source: RefSeq, a predicted model, not a curated record
UUUUAGUCCUCCCCCUGGUGGUAGUAACGACCUCCACAGCAUAUCAAUGUCCUGCAGCCGCCUGCUAACGAGCCAUCGUUUGACCCAGGUGUGUUGGACCAAGGAGCAAACUAAAACAUAGAGGAUGCCAGCCCUCAAGGAUCACGGUUGGACACCUCUGGAUUAAAGCUUAACAUCCUAGAAAUCCACAGUGUAGCAAAGCCCUUCCAAUGAAGCCACCUUCAGGAACAUCAACAUGACAAGCAUGACGAGUCCUGAGCAGCAGCAAAGGAUAUGAACGCUGAGCCUCAGGGGCCCUCUCUCCGAAGAUAUUGAUCUGCUGUUGCUCUGAGAAAUGGUUCACAGAUUUUUCCACGAGACAAAGAGAAAGAUGUGCACAAAAUCCCGUAGUUCCAGAGGAAGGAAAUUCAUAAAGAAGAGUUAGGAGGCAGCAGCUGCUGCUUUCCUGCAAAACCCGAGACGUGCAUCGUCAUUCUCUGUCCUCUAAUUCUUUUUCAUUCAAACAGAGUGCAGCUCCGGUAUGAGUUUGUCCUCCAGAUGUCUCUGUGAACUCCAGAUGCUCUCUGACGCUUUUUCUCCCACAAUCAUCCCUCUUCAUUCCCACUAACAAUUAGAUAAUGAAAUAUUGAUUUUUAGUUAGAUUCAUAUUGAUGCUAUUAGCUUUGCAUUGAUAAAUUACUGAUGCUGGAGGCCAGAGCAGGAAGACAUUACUGUGUGUUAAUCUGAUGGAUAUACCUGCUUCUUCCUGCUUGGCUCUGAUUGUGCUGCCACAGCAGCGGGUUGUUGCUGCAUAUAAAUGUCUUUCAUAACAAUAUCUCCACUAAGCCUAACCUUGGUCCAGCUUUGUUUG